Molecule: unclassified non-coding RNA, 202 nt
Filed under: Glomus sp.
Lineage: Eukaryota; Fungi; Glomeromycota; Glomeromycetes; Glomerales; Glomeraceae
Description: partial contains 5.8S ribosomal RNA and internal transcribed spacer 2
Rfam family: 5.8S ribosomal RNA (bases 1-65)
Source: RNAcentral
GUGAAUCAUCGAAUUUUUGAACGCAAAUUGCACUCUCUUCGGAGAGUAUGCCUGUUUGAGGGUCAGCCUAAAAAAAAAUUGACAUAUUAGCUGUUUCGCGGUGACCUUCGUCGGAAAUUGGGGCAUCUUAACCCUUUUGGUUCUAAUCGGCUUAAAAUUUUCUUUACGAUUCCACGAACGUUACUAAGAUUUACUUCUUAUA